UACGUAGGGAGCAAGCGUUGUCCGGAAUCAUUGGGCGUAAAGCGCGCGUAGGUGGCUUCGUAAGUCCGUUGUGAAAGUCAAAGGCUCAACCUUUGAAAGCCGAUGGAUACUGCGGAGCUAGAGUACGGAAGAGGCGAGUGGAAUUCCUGGUGUAGCGGUGGAAUGCGCAGAUAUCAGGAGGAACACCAAUAGCGAAGGCAGCUCGCUGGGACGUUACUGACACUGAGGUGCGAAAGCGUGGGGAGCGAACAGG
RNAcentral lists this ribosomal RNA (253 nucleotides) under uncultured bacterium. Its description in RNAcentral is "partial 16S ribosomal RNA". It matches the Rfam family "Bacterial small subunit ribosomal RNA", at positions 524 to 776 of the family's 1533-position model. The record is from RNAcentral.